Molecule: ribosomal RNA, 223 nt
Filed under: Strumigenys crassicornis
Lineage: Eukaryota; Metazoa; Arthropoda; Insecta; Hymenoptera; Formicidae
Description: partial large subunit ribosomal RNA
Source: RNAcentral
GAAUUUGAUAUAGUUAUUUAUAAGAGUGAUUUUGAAGAGAAUGGGAUAAAUGAUUAUGAUUUAAUUGGGAGGAUUAAUAAAUAUAAUUAACUUUAAAAAUAAAUUAAGUUGUGGAUAAAUAAAUAAAAUUUUUUUGAAUGAUUGUUAAAUUAAAUUAGAAUUAAUUACCUUAGGGAUAACAGCGUAAUAUUUUUGUAAAGAUCUUAUUAAUAAAAGUGUUUGC